AAAUACUCCUGACUGACCGAUAGUGAACCAGUACCGUGAGGGAAAGGCGAAAAGAACCCCGGCGAGGGGAGUGAAAAAGAACCUGAAACCGUGUACGUACAAGCAGUGGGAGCCCCACCACUAAGCCAGUGGUGAACUCCACAUCCGCAUCCUUUGCUGAGGAUACGGUUAACGGAGCGAAAGCGACGUUCAACCGCAAAACAAGCAGAGGGGGCUUAGUGGUGGGGUGACUGCGUACCUUUUGUAUAAUGGGUCAGCGACUUAUAUUCUGUAGCAAGGUUAACCGAAUAGGGGAGCCGGAGGGAAACCGAGUCUUAAUUGGGCGUUAAGUUGCAGGGUAUAGACCCGAAACCCGGUGAUCUAGCCAUGGGCAGGUUGAAGGUUGGGUAACACUAACUGGAGGACCGAACCGACUAAUGUUGAAAAAUUAGCGGAUGACCUGUGGCUGGGGGUGAAAGGCCAAUCAAACCGGGAGAUAGCUGGUUCUCCCCGAAAGCUAUUUAGGUAGCGCCUCGUGAAUUCAUCUCCGGGGGUAGAGCACUGUUUCGGCUAGGGGGCCAUCCCGGCUUACCAACCCGAUGCAAACUGCGAAUACCGGAGAAUGUUAUCACGGGAGACACACGGCGGGUGCUAACGUCCGUCGUGAAGAGGGAAACAACCCAGACCGCCAGCUAAGGUCCCAAAGUCAUGGUUAAGUGGGAAACGAUGUGGGAAGGCCCAGACAGCCAGGAUGUUGGCUUAGAAGCAGCCAUCAUUUAAAGAAAGCGUAAUAGCUCACUGGUCGAGUCGGCCUGCGCGGAAGAUGUAACGGGGCUAAACCAUGCACCGAAGCUGCGGCAGCGAACGUAUCACCCAAGACAACUUUACGGAGUUGACGAUUGACGGAGCGAAGCGACGUCAAAGCGUUCAUUAAAGUCGAGUUGGCUUAGGGAUACGUUCGUUGGGUAGGGGAGCGUUCUGUAAGCCUGUGAAGGUGUGUCGUGAGGCAUGCUGGAGGUAUCAGAAGUGCGAAUGCUGACAUAAGUAACGAUAAAGCGGGUGAAAAGCCCGCUCGCCGGAAGACCAAGGGUUCCUGUCCAACGUUAAUCGGGGCAGGGUGAGUCGACCCCUAAGGCGAGGCCGAAAGGCGUAGUCGAUGGGAAACGGGUUAAUAUUCCCGUACUUGGUGUUACUGCGAAGGGGGGACGGAGAAGGCUAUGUUGGCCGGGCGACGGUUGUCCCGGUUUAAGCGUGUAGGUGUGUGUUCCAGGUAAAUCCGGUUCACUUUAACACUGAGGCGUGACGACGAGGCACUACGGUGCUGAAGCAACAAAUGCCCUGCUUCCAGGAAAAGCCUCUAAGCAUCAGGUAACAC
This 1354-nucleotide ribosomal RNA is filed under the name Salmonella enterica subsp. enterica serovar Typhimurium. RNAcentral's name for it is "partial 23S ribosomal RNA". It matches the Rfam family "Bacterial large subunit ribosomal RNA", at positions 468 to 1637 of the family's 2925-position model. Lineage: Bacteria; Pseudomonadati; Pseudomonadota; Gammaproteobacteria; Enterobacterales; Enterobacteriaceae. The record is from RNAcentral.